RNAcentral lists this ribosomal RNA (329 nucleotides) under uncultured eukaryote. Its description in RNAcentral is "partial 18S ribosomal RNA". It matches the Rfam family "Eukaryotic small subunit ribosomal RNA", at positions 1470 to 1796 of the family's 1831-position model. The record is from RNAcentral.
CCCUUAGAUGUUCUGGGCCGCACGCGCGCUACACUGAUGCAUUCAACGAGUCUAAAACCUGCUCUGAUAGGGGUGGGUAAUCUUUUGAAUGUGCAUCGUGAUUGGGAUAGAUGAUUGAAAUUUUUCAUCUUCAACGAGGAAUGCCUAGUAAACGCAAGUCAUCAGCUUGCAUUGAUUACGUCCCUGCCCUUUGUACACACCGCCCGUCGCUCCUACCGAUUGAAUGAUCCGAUGAAUAUCAUGGAUUGAGGAUGCAAGUAGGUUCACCUAUCUUCAUCUUCGAGAAGUGAAGUAAAACUUAUCAUUUAGAGGAAGGAGAAGUCGUAACA